Long non-coding RNA from Pleuronectes platessa (European plaice), 418 nucleotides. RefSeq lists it as uncharacterized. The record is from RefSeq and is a predicted model, not a curated record. Lineage: Eukaryota; Metazoa; Chordata; Actinopteri; Pleuronectiformes; Pleuronectidae. The transcript is spliced from 3 exons.
CAGCUACAUGGGUUGGAGGAGGCUUCAUUGUGGGCACAGCUGAGAUGGUGUACACUCCGUCCAUGGGACUAACCUGGGCAGCCACCAUGUUAACUGCAUACAGCUUAUCUUUUAUUCUAUGUGGCCUGGUGUUUGCUAAACCACUAAGAGAAAUGAACUGGUCACCAUGAUGGACCCUUUCCACAUCAAGUAUUGACCAGUUCUGACAGCUGGACUGAGUCUGGCCUCAAUCUCUCUUGAUAUACUGUGUCAAGCAUUAAUACUGAUUUGUUUAGGAGGCACCAUGAGUGUGGUCCUGGAUUUGCCCUACACUCUGUGUAUCUGGAUCUCUGCUGCAGUGGUCAUCAUCUACACUCUGCUGGGAGGUCUCUACUCUGUGGCCUACACUGAUAUUAUUCAGCUUCUUCUUAUAUUCAUU